Molecule: ribosomal RNA, 253 nt
Filed under: uncultured bacterium
Lineage: Bacteria
Description: partial 16S ribosomal RNA
Rfam family: Bacterial small subunit ribosomal RNA
Source: RNAcentral
UACAGAGGUCUCAAGCGUUGUUCGGAUUCAUUGGGCGUAAAGGGUGCGUAGGUGGCGAGGCGAGUCGGAUGUGAAAUCCCGGGGCUUAACCCCGGAACUGCAUUCGAUACUGCCUUGCUCGAGUACUGGAGAGGAGACUGGAAUUUACGGUGUAGCAGUGAAAUGCGUAGAUAUCGUAAGGAAGACCAGUGGCGAAGGCGAGUCUCUGGACAGUUACUGACACUGAGGCACGAAGGCCAGGGGAGCAAACGGG